AACGAACGGGACCUACCUGAUCCGAGGUCAAGAGUGUAAAAAUGUACUUUUGGACGUCGUCGUUAUGAGUGCAAAGCGCGAGAUGUACUGCGCUCCGAAAUCAAUACGCCGGCUGCCAAUUUUUUUGAGGCGAGUCUACGCGCAGAGGCGAGACAAACACCCAACACCAAGCAAAGCUUGAAGGUACAAAUGACGCUCGAACAGGCAUGCCCCAUGGAAUACCAAGGGGCGCAAUGUGCGUUCAAAGAUUCGAUGAUUCACUGAAUUCUGCAAUUCACACUACUUAUCGCAUUUCGCUGCGUUCUUCAUCGAUGCCAGAACCAAGAGAUCCGUUGUUGAAAGUUGUAACUAUUAAGUUUUUUCAGACGCUGAUUGCAACUGCAAAUGGUUUAAAUUGUCCAAUCGGCGGGCGGACCCGCCGAGGAAACGAAGGUACUCAAAAGACAUGGGUAAGAGAUAGCAGGCAAAGCCUACAACUCUAGGUAAUGAUCCUUCCGCAGGUCACCUACGGAAGAGCUCCACCUAGAGAUGUGGGCAUUGAAUGCUAUCAAAAAUCUUGUGUCUUGAGUACGUGCUGUACUUCAACUGUUUUCAUACCCCCAUAACCUGGCCCACUAUUUAUCGCCGUCCGGACCGCCACCAUUAAACUUACAAUCCUUUCAAGACCGCUCUUUUGUGUUCGGGCCCGUCUGGACACUCCAUCUAAUGGCUUCAUGCCCAGGGGAAGAUCUCAAGCUCUUGGAAAAACCAAAAAAUCUAUUUUCAAAAUUACUCCCAUUUCUUUAUGAGCGUCCGGGGU
This 799-nucleotide unclassified non-coding RNA is filed under the name Didymella pomorum. RNAcentral's name for it is "partial sequence contains ITS1". Lineage: Eukaryota; Fungi; Ascomycota; Dothideomycetes; Pleosporales; Didymellaceae. The record is from RNAcentral.